GCUAGCAGCUGUAACACCCUGCAGCUCACAACCCUCCUGUAGGUAAGCAGGUGUGAGCCUGGUCAGUACUUGGAUGGGAGACCUCUGGGGAAAAACUAAGGCUGCUGCUGGAA
Molecule: ribosomal RNA, 113 nt
Filed under: Lepisosteus oculatus (spotted gar)
Lineage: Eukaryota; Metazoa; Chordata; Actinopteri; Semionotiformes; Lepisosteidae
Source: RNAcentral